Long non-coding RNA from Bubalus bubalis (water buffalo), 1248 nucleotides. RefSeq lists it as uncharacterized. The transcript is spliced from 4 exons. The record is from RefSeq and is a predicted model, not a curated record. NCBI's taxonomy places the organism in Eukaryota, Metazoa, Chordata, Mammalia, Artiodactyla, Bovidae.
UUUAAGUAAGUGGGUCAGAGGGACCGAGAGGAGAUGAGGCGAUCAAUCUUAGCCCCCUGACAGCUCCCUCCGAUGGCAUCAAAGAAUUUGUUUCUUUGGGAAAGCAGAGGGAACAGCCGAAAUUCCCCAUCCCUUUAAAAGGCCUGGAGGUGGGGGGUGUUAGCGAAAGAGAAAGGUGAUUCUGGGAGAGCAGGGAAACAGAUGGGAAAUGGGGACAGAGGAAAGGCGCUGGGUUGGGUGGAAAGUUUUUCUGGAGAACUCCCACGACUCCGGCCUCCCCUCCCCCUCCUUGCUUGCUGCCGCGGAGCAAGGAGGAGAAGGCUGGUUAGCAGAGAAAUGGCAACUACUCGGCCGGGAGCUGGAACUAGAAACUUUCUGUCAGUGUAACAGCCGCGUGGGUGGUGGAGAAUUGCCAGGAAAGAAAAAUCAAGAUUUGGGGGAAUUAACCACAUGGAAGACCUCCCGACUGCACCCAACUCCACAGCCCCCGCCCCCCCUGGGUCUUCUCCACCCCAAGACCUGCCCCUCAGCCGUCCCUCUCCCAUCACAGGUCCCUUUCAUCCAAGCAGAGUCUAACCUGGAGAAAAAAACUGAGGCUGAGGAUCGCUGGAAGAGGCAGCAGGAAGAAGCAAGUUGAGCAGGGAACCUUCUGGUGUGAGGGAGCCUCUCCUUACCCUCCCAUCUCAAGAAGCAGCACCCUGACCCAAAACUUCCUGAAGAUUUUUAACCUCCAGAGCCAGUGGAACUGAGCCGCCUCCAUGGCCUUUGCUGCAGGUACCGUCACCUCCAGUCUGAGUGUUUGCUAACCAAGUCUGGGAUCCCACAGCCAGCGGCCCCCAUGGGGCCCCCAAAUGGAACAGGAUUGUUUCUUUGGUGGGACUGGUUGGUGCUGUGACCAUUUGGCUAGGUCUUCCCCCACUCUGUUUUUUUUCAUCAGGCAUAAUUUUUUUUACCCACCCUUUCCUUGACAGUCUGCUUCCUUUGAUUUUUCCAAAAGAAGAAAAGAAGAAAGAAACUGGGUAACUGCUGGACUUUUCUACAAAGAGAUGGGAAAGUGCUUUCUAAAACAGAAAUUUUUUUCCCCUAAGAAAAAAGAAAGUAAACAAAGCAAUCUAAGCAAUAUUAUCUGGGCUGGAAACUGGGUGCCCCUGUUUACUGAAGUUCUUUGAGGCCAAAAAAAAAAAAAAAAUCAUUAGUUUAAUGCAGGCUUUUAAAAGUGUGCUGGAAAAAUAAAGGUUCAAGCUGUCA